This 429-nucleotide ribosomal RNA is filed under the name uncultured Comamonadaceae bacterium. RNAcentral describes it as "bacterial SSU rRNA". It matches the Rfam family "Bacterial small subunit ribosomal RNA", at positions 355 to 776 of the family's 1533-position model. Lineage: Bacteria; Pseudomonadati; Pseudomonadota; Betaproteobacteria; Burkholderiales; Comamonadaceae. The record is from RNAcentral.
UGGGGAAUUUUGGACAAUGGGGGCAACCCUGAUCCAGCCAUGCCGCGUGCGGGAAGAAGGCCUUCGGGUUGUAAACCGCUUUUGUCGGGGAAGAAACGCUCCAGGCUAAUACCCCGGAGUAAUGACGGUACCCGAAGAAUAAGCACCGGCUAACUACGUGCCAGCAGCCGCGGUAAUACGUAGGGUGCAAGCGUUAAUCGGAAUUACUGGGCGUAAAGCGUGCGCAGGCGGUCCUGCAAGACAGAUGUGAAAUCCCCGGGCUCAACCUGGGAACUGCAUUUGUGACUGCAAGGCUGGAGUGCGGCAGAGGGGGAUGGAAUUCCGCGUGUAGCAGUGAAAUGCGUAGAUAUGCGGAGGAACACCGAUGGCGAAGGCAAUCCCCUGGGCCUGCACUGACGCUCAUGCACGAAAGCGUGGGGAGCAAACAGG